This 66-nucleotide transfer RNA is filed under the name Marmota marmota marmota (Alpine marmot). It matches the Rfam family "tRNA". From Rfam's summary of the family: Transfer RNA (tRNA) molecules are approximately 80 nucleotides in length. Their secondary structure includes four short double-helical elements and three loops (D, anti-codon, and T loops). RNAcentral also lists the same sequence under 2 other names. The record is from Rfam by way of RNAcentral. Lineage: Eukaryota; Metazoa; Chordata; Mammalia; Rodentia; Sciuridae.
GGGGUUGUAGCUUAGUGGUAGAGCGCUUGCCUCACAUGCAUGAGGCACAUACUGGGUUCAAUCCUC